AUCUGAAACCCCUUGUCCCAAAAAAAAAAGCAGAUAUGAAACCCAAAUUAAUUCUUGAUAUUUUUAUACCGAGACAAAAUAUUCCAUUAUUAUAAUGAAUGGAAGACUGGUUUGUCUCCGGUAUAAAUAUGUCAGGGAAUUAAUUUAGAUUUUUAUUAUUAUUGACUUGAUAAAAUUUGUGACAGAUCAAAAUAUAUUUUCAGUAAAAUAUUGUUUUAAAAUAUAAUUUGUUUGUUCAAAAUCCAAUAGAUUUAAUCAACUAAUUAAGUGCAUUCGGUAGUGAUUUCCUUAAAUCCAAUUCCCAAAACUAUCAAAUUUACAUGUAGUCGGAUUAUAUGCGAUCAAUAAUUCUAAAUCAUCUAAUUAAAAUCAGACAGUUCAGAUCUUAAGAUAAUUUUUUUUUAUUUAAUAUAAAAUUGAGAUUGCAUCAGAACCUUGAUAGUCUAAGACUUACUAACUAUAUAUGACUACACCAUUUUUCCACCGCACAUAAUUCACGUCUAAAACCUAUAAAGUCCCGAUACUCGUCUGAUACUUUUCGAUACACGUAUCAGAGAAGUAUCGGCAAUUAAUAUUAUUUU
This 581-nucleotide long non-coding RNA is filed under the name Trifolium pratense (red clover). Its description in RNAcentral is "long non-coding RNA (TPRA_LNC006597)". Lineage: Eukaryota; Viridiplantae; Streptophyta; Magnoliopsida; Fabales; Fabaceae. The record is from RNAcentral.